This is a long non-coding RNA of Lutra lutra (Eurasian river otter), 652 nucleotides long. RefSeq lists it as uncharacterized. NCBI's taxonomy places the organism in Eukaryota, Metazoa, Chordata, Mammalia, Carnivora, Mustelidae. The transcript is spliced from 3 exons. The record is from RefSeq and is a predicted model, not a curated record.
UUUCUCGGGCCGCCGCGCCGCGCCGCAAGUGGGCGGGCGGGCGGAAAACGCGGCCUCCCCUCCUCCUCCGCCCGCCGCCGUCCGUCGUGGGGCGUCGAGGGUACCCCCACCCCCGCCUCGCCGCCGGUCACCUAUAGGCGCUGAAAGAGCCUCCGUCGGCCUCGCUCUGCGCACGAGGAUGUCCCAGAGCCCUGGGAGAGGUGGAAGCUCGGGAUGCUGGGGGCGGCUCCUGGAGUUUCCGGGAAGGCUCCACAGAGGAGAAAUGUGAACUUUUUUCAAAAAGAGCCGGGUCAUCUGAGGACGUGUUAGGAGCUUGGAUCUCCUCCUGUGAGCGGGGGAUUUCGGACAGGGUCUUCUCUAACCAUCAGAGCGGAGGACACACAGAAUGAAGGGCAGGGCUCUGUCAGGUUGCUGGCCUCCUGGAUUCUGCCACUGCCCUCCCUGCAAAGGCCGCGGGGGCUCUGAAGGUGGAAAGCAGAUGAGAGCUGAUCAGAAGCAGCUCAGAGGGCUACCUGGGGUGCAGAGUCUGGCCUGCUGUGAUGUACCUGAGCUCACCUGGUCCUGUCCAGUUUCCAUCCACACCCCCUCCUGCCUUCCGCCCACCCCUGACCACCCCCCCCAGCAGCGCCCUCCCUCACUGACAGCCCUCACU